This 497-nucleotide ribosomal RNA is filed under the name uncultured bacterium. RNAcentral describes it as "partial 16S ribosomal RNA". It matches the Rfam family "Bacterial small subunit ribosomal RNA", at positions 28 to 507 of the family's 1533-position model. The record is from RNAcentral.
GAUGAACGCUGGCGGCGUGCCUAAUACAUGCAAGUCGAGCGAACGGACGAGAAGCUUGCUUCUCUGAUGUUAGCGGCGGACGGGUGAGUAACACGUGGAUAACCUACCUAUAAGACUGGGAUAACUUCGGGAAACCGUAGCUAAUACCGGAUAAUAUUUUGAACCGCAUGGUUCAAAAGUGAAAGACGGUCUUGCUGUCACUUAUAGAUGGAUCCGCGCUGCAUUAGCUAGUUGGUAAGGUAACGGCUUACCAAGGCAACGAUGCAUAGCCGACCUGAGAGGGUGAUCGGCCACACUGGAACUGAGCAACGGUCAAGACUCCUACGGGAGGCAGCAGUAGGGAAUCUUCCGCAAUGGGCGAAAGCCUGACGGAGCAACGCCGCGUGAGUGAUGAAGGUCUUCGGAUCGUAAAACUCUGUUAUUAGGGAAGAGCAUAUGUGUAAGUAACUGUGCACAUCUUGACGGUACCUAAUCAGAAAGCCACGGCUAACUACGUG